GGGAGCCGAAACGUCUUGAUUCUGAAAACAGUGUCCAGAUGACUACGACUGAAACCUUUUCUACGAUAGAACACUCCUGGACGAAUGAGGGACUACACCGUCCUAGCACAAGUAAAGCAGAGUUAUAGAGUCAGUGAACUGACUUGGGAAUAUUUUAAACACAAAGAUUUAUCCAAAGUUUUCUAAAAUAACACAUUAGCCACAAUAAGCUACUGGUCAUACCACAGCAUGUAAGGCUGUAGCUACCUUGAGUGUAUUAAACAGAGAAAAUAUGUUAAAUUGCUUAUGAAUUUGACUUUUCAUUUCCAAGAAGAAAAAGGUGUUAUUUCAAGUUACAUAUUCUUGCUUUAAGCAUUCAAUUAAAGCUUGACAACAACUAAUAAAUUGAUCUUGUUGUAAGAUUGUUUUGUCAAUUGAAAAAUAGCAUUAAAAAAAUUUAAUAGCAACACAUUUCCCAGAGAGGGGGUCCUUGAAACUGGACCUUAAUGCUGGGAAAUAAAACGUACACACAACAUACUUAAACAUAAAAUAUGAAUAUAAUUGAACAAAAAAGACAAAAAGAUUAAUCUAAAUACUCAAAACAUUUUGGGUACCUUAUUUUUGGCAUUGGUGGAUGCAGGACUCGUGACCAAAAAUGCUGUGUUGAAUAUUUUCCUGUCUGUCCUGCACUUUGAACUCAGCAAGGCAAGUUCCUAACAAUGUUUGUUGUAAUGGAAAUAAAGUUAACUCAACUUCAAAGGCUUCAAUCAGGGGUCUGUGAGGGAAUUACAGGGGGCCUUUUCAAUCAAAAUAUAUUACAUUUCAGAAUCUACAGUCAAGUACAGUUUUAUUGUCACUUAUUGCAGUGGAGAACAUCUGUGAGUGUGUGUUGUUAUGCUGUUUUGCUUAGUGGAUACGAGACACAUAAGAUUUGUAGUCUAAUUAUGCUGCCAGACAAAACAGUAGCUACACUUCACAGUGAAGGUCUUCAGCAUUAGGGUUAGGCUAUAUGCCACCAGGGGAUACAUGUUGAGGAUCCCUGCAGAGAGAGAGGCCAUUUUGUAAAUGAAAGGUAACAGAUUUGGCUCUUGUAAUAGUGUCAAAGUGUCUUGUGAUCAAAACAGUGAACUAUUCCAAAGUAGAAGCUGUUGACUCCUCUGCGGAAAUGCACAUGUAAUUCACUGAGCAACAAGACCUGGUUGUUAUGCUUCUUAUAAGCAUCAAAGAGUAUUUAACAUGCUCUGACAGCACUCCCAGCAGUAUGGUCACACUAUGUGGCUAAAGAAGGGUUCAGCACUAUGCAGAAGUGGGUUUCCUGCAGUUGAACAUUGCACAUGUUUGUGCAUUUCAUAUUUCAGUUCAUCAAAUGAUUACUAAUGAAAUCAUUUUUAUGAAUCCUCAAGAUUCUAAUUUGAAUUCAAUUAUUGUAUAUUGGACUCUCACAUGACUUAACUGUAUGUUCCACAAAUGGUAUGGCACAUACAGUACCUUAGUUUUGAGCAGCCAAACAGCAGCUAACCGCUUCCUUUUCUCUGCUCCUCCUCCACAAAUACAUUUAAAACUUGAUGGUGAAGUUCCAGUCUGACUUUUUCUGUCUUCAUGUCAUCAUGUUCAGCCUAAACCAAGCAGCUCUGCUCUCCAUUCUAUUACUUAUGUACCAAGUCUUUGCAGUGUUAGGGACUCAUCCAGUUGACCACAGGGAUGUACUGGUCUCCAGGGGAGACCAAAGCUGAAUAUUUUUAAUGCUCAGCAUGAUGACGCAGGACUCUAUGUAUGUAAUGUGGCUGGUAAACGUGGUCUAGCGACUACUGAGUGGAAUUUAACGGUGUCUGAGAAACCUGAAGGUAGGCAGAGCACAAAGCAGGGCUAAUCAUCUCUACACCGGACGUAGUGCAUUUCAAAGCUCCAAAUGCAUGCUACUUAAAUUAAUUCACAUCUGAUUUUAUGCAGAAAUCAGUCAAUCGUGGUAUUUUCUAUACAUGCUCACACCUGUAAUUGGAUUGCUUCUAUGUGGCUUCACUCCAGCUGUCUGUCUCUGCAGAAAACUCAGGACCAGGACACCAAACCAGAACCCAGUCCAGGACCAGUUUCAUCUUCAGUCAGAAGGAGAGGUGGUCUUCCGUCAACCGCAGGGUGGCACAGACAGUAGGACAAAUAACCAGCAGAGGAGUCAGUACAUGGAGAGGGUCAAUUCAAUCUAUGGUCUCUAAAGUUAAACAAGAGACGUGAACAGAGUGUACAAGAGGAUUCAAAUGUGAUGGGUAUUACAUUUUUCAAUGUCAAUGCAGGUGUUUCAUAGGAAGUAAAUCGGAGAGAGGACAACUGGGUCACUGAUGCCUUUGGCUUAUCUAACAUUAAUACAUUAAAACCAGUGCCUUCACUUUAACAGAUUUUUUAGCUCAUCUUUUAUAUUUAUAAUGCUCUGUGUAUUUUUAUAUGCUCUUAUGUAUAUGAUGGUUUUAUUAUAAGUGUGCUGUGUUGAAUGUUUUCCUGUCUGUCCUGCACUUUGAACUCAGCAAGGCAAGUUCCAAACAAUGUUUGUUGUAAUGGAAAUAAAGUUAACUCAACUCAAAAGGCUUCAAUCAGGGGUCUGUGCUCCCUAGGGUUCUGUGAGGGAAUUACAGGGGGCCUUUUCAAUCAAAAUUAAAUUACAUUUCAGAAUCUACA
Molecule: RNA transcript, 2646 nt
Organism: Siniperca chuatsi (mandarin fish)
Lineage: Eukaryota; Metazoa; Chordata; Actinopteri; Centrarchiformes; Sinipercidae
Exons: 4
Source: RefSeq, a predicted model, not a curated record